Molecule: non-coding RNA, 152 nt
Organism: Vicugna pacos (alpaca)
Lineage: Eukaryota; Metazoa; Chordata; Mammalia; Artiodactyla; Camelidae
Source: RefSeq, a predicted model, not a curated record
AAAAUGGGGAGGAACAGAAUUUCUCCCUGCCUGGCAUGCAAAGUGUCUAAGUGAAGCCAACACCUGUGCCUGCCAGGCAUCGACUCCAGCCCCGGGCCAGUGACCUUGGCAGGGCCUCCCCCACCCCAACAGAGGCUGCAUCUCUGGCUCCC